UACGUAGGUGGCAAGCGUUGUCCGGAAUUAUUGGGCGUAAAGGGCUCGUAGGCGGUUUGUCACGUCGGGAGUGAAAUCCACUGGCUUAACUGGUGGCUUGCUUUCGAUACGGGCAGACUGGAGGUAUGCAGGGGAGAACGGAAUUCCUGGUGUAGCGGUGAAAUGCGCAGAUAUCAGGAGGAACACCGGUGGCGAAGGCGGUUCUCUGGGCAUGUCCUGACGCUGAGGAGCGAAAGUGUGGGAGCGAACAGG
RNAcentral lists this ribosomal RNA (252 nucleotides) under uncultured bacterium. RNAcentral describes it as "partial 16S ribosomal RNA". It matches the Rfam family "Bacterial small subunit ribosomal RNA", at positions 524 to 776 of the family's 1533-position model. The record is from RNAcentral.